RNAcentral lists this ribosomal RNA (455 nucleotides) under 'Juniperus procumbens' witches'-broom phytoplasma. RNAcentral describes it as "bacterial SSU rRNA". It matches the Rfam family "Bacterial small subunit ribosomal RNA", at positions 788 to 1251 of the family's 1533-position model. The record is from RNAcentral. Lineage: Bacteria; Bacillati; Mycoplasmatota; Mollicutes; Acholeplasmatales; Acholeplasmataceae.
UGGUAGUCCACGCCGUAAACGAUGAGUACUAAGUGUCGGGGUAAAACUCGGUACUGAAGUUAACACAUUAAGUACUCCGCCUGAGUAGUACGUACGCAAGUAUGAAACUUAAAGGAAUUGACGGGACUCCGCACAAGCGGUGGAUCAUGUUGUUUAAUUCGAAGAUACACGAAAAAUCUUACCAGGUCUUGACAUACUCUGCAAAGCUAUAGAAAUAUAGUGGAGGUUAUCAGGGAUACAGGUGGUGCAUGGUUGUCGUCAGUUCGUGUCGUGAGAUGUUAGGUUAAGUCCUAAAACGAGCGCAACCCUUGUCGUUAAUUGCCAGCACGUAAUGGUGGGGACUUUAGCGAGACUGCCAAUUAAACAUUGGAGGAAGGUGAGGAUUACGUCAAAUCAUCAUGCCCCUUAUGAUCUGGGCUACAAACGUGAUACAAUGGCUGUGACAAAGGGUAGCU